CUAACUUUCCUUUAGUGCUCCACCCUGAUAUAUCACCGUAUCCUGGAUAAUCAUGUAUCGUCCACAGAAGUGAUGCAAACAUCUUAAAAGAUUUCUGCGUACGUACAUCAAAAGCUGUAACACCUUCUGCCCAUAAAAUCUUCAGUUCAUCGAUAAGCGGUUGAAGAUAGACAUCUAUAUCGUUCCCUGGAGCUGACGGACCGGAAAUUAGUAGAGACAACAUGAAAUUCGGUUGUUUCAUACACAUCCAAGGUGGAA
RNAcentral lists this long non-coding RNA (258 nucleotides) under Zostera marina. RNAcentral's name for it is "long non-coding RNA (ZMAR_LNC006179)". Lineage: Eukaryota; Viridiplantae; Streptophyta; Magnoliopsida; Alismatales; Zosteraceae. The record is from RNAcentral.